AUAGCUUCUCGGUCUUUUGGCUAAGACCAAGUGUAGUAUCUGUUCUUAUCAGUUUAAUUUAUUGUUGGCUGUUUGCUUGUUGUAAACUGUCUUUAUUAAGUUUAGGUACAUGCCUU
Mus musculus (house mouse) is the source of this 116-nucleotide non-coding RNA. Lineage: Eukaryota; Metazoa; Chordata; Mammalia; Rodentia; Muridae. The record is from Rfam.